UUGCCAGACUCCUACGGGAGGCAGCAGUGGGGAAUCUUGCACAAUGGGCGAAAGCCUGAUGCAGCGACGCCGCGUGGGCGAAGAAGGCCUUUGGGCCGUAAAGCCCUGUCGGGAGGGAAGAAGGAAGCGACGGUACCUCCCAAGGAAGCCCCGGCUAACUACGUGCCAGCAGCCGCGGUAACACGUAGGGGGCGAGCGUUAUCCGGAAUCAUUGGGCGUAAAGGGUGCGUAGGCGGCCUUUUAAGCGCGGGGUCUAAGGCGGUGGCCCAACCACCGUUCGCCCCGCGAACUGGAGGGCUAGAGUGUCGGAGAGGGAAGCGGAAUUCCUAGUGUAGCGGUGAAAUGCGUAGAUAUUAGGAGGAACACCAGUGGCGAAGGCGGCUUCCUGGACGAAGACUGACGCUGAGGCACGAAAGCGUGGGGAGCGAACAGGAUUAGAUACCCCUGUA
RNAcentral lists this ribosomal RNA (449 nucleotides) under uncultured bacterium. Its description in RNAcentral is "partial 16S ribosomal RNA". It matches the Rfam family "Bacterial small subunit ribosomal RNA", at positions 328 to 792 of the family's 1533-position model. The record is from RNAcentral.